RNAcentral lists this long non-coding RNA (1812 nucleotides) under Canis lupus familiaris (dog). RNAcentral's name for it is "lncRNA (ENSCAFG00040010055.1)". The record is from RNAcentral. Lineage: Eukaryota; Metazoa; Chordata; Mammalia; Carnivora; Canidae.
CUGUGGAGAAAGCCACCUCAGGAUGGGGCAGGAAUCCCCUACCCAGAGGGAGCCCCAUACAUGGGCACUCACAGGAAGGGAUGUUCAGCAGCAGGGGUGAGGAGCACAGGACACCCAGACUGGUAAAAGAAGCCAUUGCCCUAAACUCAGUGCUUGCCUUCUCAACUGUGAGGAGGGGGAUUUGAAGAUAUUUCAAUCUUCAUCAAUGCUCUGUGUCAUUUGGGGGUCACAGAGCCCUGCAGAAUGGGGAUGAGUAUGUGGGGUUGAGGUAGUAAACCUGUGUAUGGGGGAUCCAUGUCCAGAUCCUAUGAGUACACUCUUUUUUUUUCAGAAAUGGAGCCCUCAGUACACAAAGUCUUUUCAUCAAAUCUGAUCCAGGGACCCUCACUCUGCGGCUCCUGCACUGGAGGAUUUGGAUCACCCACUAGGACCCUUCAGUUUUUGAGUCACAUGCAGUAACUGGACUACUGUCUUUGAGGAGGACACAUAAAAUGAUGAAACCUGAGAAUUAUACUAUAUAUUGGCAAAUUGGACUUAAACUCACACAUCCUUUGAAGCAAUAAAAUGUGGAGGAUGUUGCAGAACAAAUACUCCUUUCUGGGACCUCUCAGAGAGCUGCUUCACUAAGGACAUCAUCCCCCUAAACCACAGAGAAGAUCGUGCCCCCACAGACACUGCUGGAGCCUACAUGAUUUCACAGAAGCCUUGGAAUUCCUUAGAAAUGAGUGUGUUCCAUUGUAUACAUAAAGGGAGACAUAAUGUGAAGACUGCUAACUCUGGGAAACGAACUAGGAGUGGUAGAAGGGGAGGAGGGCAGGGGGUGGGAGUGAUUGGGUGAAGGGCACUGGAGGUUAUUCUGUAUGUUGGUAAAUAUAUAUAUAAAACAGUGAAAUAUGAGCAAGGCUUAUUGGAAAACAUCUGUGUGCAUCUCAUAACAAAAAUGUACAACACAUUCUAUUUUGAAAUUCUGAUUUUCAUCACAUUAAAAUUGUCUUGGGGUGGUAGAAGGGGAGGAGGGCGGGGGGUGGGAGUGAAUGGGUGAUGGGCACUGGGGGUUAUUCUGUAUGUUAGUAAAUUGAACACCAAUAAAAAAUAAAUUAAAAAAAAUCACUUACCCUAUAGAUAAAAAAAAACAAAAACAAACAAACAAAAAAACCCUUUGCUGCCCCAAAGUAAAAAUGCUAUUACCUACAUGCUGUCCCAUAUGCAGGAAAAAAAGGACACAUGAAAGAAAACACUGGGGAUAUAGAAGAUAACAUGGUGGAUAACAAUGACUGACAAGAAGAGGGGAUAAAAGCUCAUGGACCUAAAGGUAGACUUAGGGAAUUCAGUGGCUUAUGAAAACAGUAAUAUUUUUAUCAUUGGAGUCCCACAAAAUGAAGAGAGAGAAAAUGUUCCAGGUUAUUCGAUCAAAAUAUAGCCAGAAAACUCCCUAAUCAGGAAGGACACAGACCUUAAAAUCCAGGAAGCACACAUACUCCCAUGAAAUUCAACAAAUUUGAUAAUCUCCAAGGCAUUUCAAUAUCAAACUCACAGAAUACGCAGACAAGGAAGGAAUCCUGAAAGCAGCAAGGGAACUGCUGUCCUGAACCUCACAGCCACCAGAAUAGCUGCAUCUGGAUGGUGAUGCUCAGACUCAGGUCCCACAGGGUCAGCACAUCUCCCUCCUCUGGAAAUGAUGAUAAAUAAUCUUCCUCACAGUAGAGUUCCACAAUCUCCCAGUCCCCUGCUCCAUAUGUGAAGGUUCUCCCUCCGUGUGUCUGCUGGGUCUUGUUCACAGAGUCCUAGGAUUGUCCACUGGUUCAUCCUUUC